This 480-nucleotide ribosomal RNA is filed under the name uncultured bacterium. Its description in RNAcentral is "partial 16S ribosomal RNA". It matches the Rfam family "Bacterial small subunit ribosomal RNA", at positions 28 to 507 of the family's 1533-position model. The record is from RNAcentral.
GACGAACGCUGGCGGCGUGCUUAACACAUGCAAGUCGAACGAUGAAGAAAAGAAUCGAAGCUUCGGCAGAAAUUCAUUUCGGAUUAGUGGCAGACGGGUGAGUAACGCGUGAGCAACCUACCUCUUACAAAGGGAUAGCCUCGGGAAACCGGGAUUAAUACCAUAUAACAUUGUGACGAAGCAUUUCGAUGCAAUCAAAGCUACGGCGGUAAGAGAUGGGCUCGCGUCCCAUUAACCGGAUGGUGAGGUAACGGCUCACCAUAGUGACGAUGGGUAACCGGCCUGAGAGGGUGAACGGUCACACUGGAACUGAGACACGGUCCAGACUCCUACGGGAGGCAGCAGUGGGGAAUAUUGCACAAUGGAGGGAACUCUGAUGCAGCGACGCCGCGUGAGUGAUGAAGGAAUUCGUUUCGUAAAACUCUGUUCUAUGGGAAGAAAAGGACUGUACCAUAGGAGAAAGCUCCGGCUAAAUAUGUG